CCUACGGGUGGCAGCAGUGAGGAAUAUUGGUCAAUGGCCGUAAGGCUGAACCAGCCAAGUCGCGUGAAGGACGAAGGAUCUAUGGUUUGUAAACUUCUUUUAUCGGGGAAUAAAAUUAUCCACGAGAGGCUAUUCGCAUGUACUUUAUGAAUAAGCAUCGGCUAACUCCGUGCCAGUAGCCGCGGUAAUACGGAGGAUGCGAGCGUUAUCCGGAUUUAUUGGGUUUAAAGGGUGCGUAGGUGGUUUUUUAAGUCAGCGGUGAAAUUUCGGGGUCAAACCUAAAAUUGCCGUUGAAACUGGUAGUCUUGAGAGUGUUUGAGGUAUGCGGAAUGCGUGGUGUAGCGGUGAAAUGCUUAGAUAUCACGCAGAACUCCGAUUGCGAAGGCAGCUUAC
RNAcentral lists this ribosomal RNA (393 nucleotides) under uncultured bacterium. RNAcentral describes it as "partial 16S ribosomal RNA". It matches the Rfam family "Bacterial small subunit ribosomal RNA", at positions 338 to 729 of the family's 1533-position model. The record is from RNAcentral.